CCCUUAGAUGUUCUGGGCUGCACGCGCGCUACACUGACGGAGCCAACGAGUUUCUUCCUUGGCUGAAAAGUCUGGGUAAUCUUGUUAAACUCCGUCGUGCUGGGGAUAGAGCAUUGCAAUUAUUGCUCUUUAACGAGGAAUGCCUAGUAAGCGCAUGUCAUCAGCAUGCGUUGAUUACGUCCCUGCCCUUUGUACACACCGCCCGUCGCUCCUACCGAUUGAAUGGUCCGGUGAAGCGUUCGGACCGUGGCCUUUGGACGGUUCGCCGUCUGUUGGCUGCGGGAAGUUCGUUAAACCUUAUCAUUUAGAGGAAGGAGAAGUCGUAACA
RNAcentral lists this ribosomal RNA (328 nucleotides) under uncultured eukaryote. RNAcentral's name for it is "partial 18S ribosomal RNA". It matches the Rfam family "Eukaryotic small subunit ribosomal RNA", at positions 1470 to 1796 of the family's 1831-position model. The record is from RNAcentral.